UAAUACUUCAUUGGGGAGUAGCCGCUAUUUACGCAAAGUAAAUAGGUGAUGAUCAACAUAAUUGUUCAACAGAACAUGGUCAUCAUAGCAAAGAACAAUGUCGCUUUCUUUUAAGCAACCUUUUGUUGGCAAGACCUUUGAU
This 142-nucleotide small RNA is filed under the name Acinetobacter rudis. RNAcentral's name for it is "Manganese sequence". The stretch from base 1 to 127 matches the Rfam family "Manganese Mn2+ riboswitch aptamer (yybP-ykoY)". From Rfam's summary of the family: This RNA was originally discovered in E. coli during a large scale screen and was named SraF. Lineage: Bacteria; Pseudomonadati; Pseudomonadota; Gammaproteobacteria; Moraxellales; Moraxellaceae. The record is from RNAcentral.